GGGGUUUGGAAUCUCUGUUAUUGCGGGACAACAGGAAAGGGUAAGUCAGUGGCUGAUCAACCAUGAGUUUGAGGAGCAAAACGAAGAAUGUACAUGUUCAAGCCAUAUCAGACCAAGCGGGUUAAGGGUCUAUCAGUGUUGAACUUUUGAAUUCUGUUUUGCCGCUUAGGUCGGCUAGAAAGAAAAGACUUGUAAUAAGUUUGUAAUUAUUUUUGGGAUCCCAACUAUUUUGAAAAGUUUAAAUAUAUUACAAGUUUAUUUUCA
Cannabis sativa is the source of this 264-nucleotide long non-coding RNA. RefSeq lists it as uncharacterized. The transcript has 2 exons. Lineage: Eukaryota; Viridiplantae; Streptophyta; Magnoliopsida; Rosales; Cannabaceae. The record is from RefSeq and is a predicted model, not a curated record.